This 253-nucleotide ribosomal RNA is filed under the name uncultured bacterium. RNAcentral describes it as "partial 16S ribosomal RNA". It matches the Rfam family "Bacterial small subunit ribosomal RNA", at positions 524 to 776 of the family's 1533-position model. The record is from RNAcentral.
UACAGAGGGUGCGAGCGUUAAUCGGAAUUACUGGGCGUAAAGCGUGCGUAGGCGGUUAUUUAAGUCGGGUGUGAAAGCCCCGGGCUCAACCUGGGAAUUGCAUUCGAGACUGAAUAGCUAGGGUACGGUAGAGGGAAGCGGAAUUUCCGGUGUAGCGGUGAAAUGCGUAGAUAUCGGAAGGAACAUCAGUGGCGAAAGCGGCUUCCUGGACCAGUACCGACGUUCAGGCACGAAAGCGUGGGGAGCAAACAGG